UCAGCCCAACAUGGCGAUGCACAACAAGGCGGCGCCGCCGCAGAUCCCGGACACCCGGCGGGAGCUGGCGGAGCUCGUGAAGCGGAAGCAGGAGCUGGCGGAAACAUUGGCAAACUUGGAGCGACAGAUCUAUGCUUUUGAGGGAAGCUACCUGGAAGACACUCAGAUGUAUGGCAAUAUUAUUCGUGGCUGGGAUCGGUAUCUGACCAACCAAAAAAACUCCAAUAGCAAAAAUGAUCGAAGGAACCGGAAGUUUAAGGAAGCUGAGCGGCUCUUCAGUAAAUCCUCAGUUACCUCAGCAGCUGCAGUAAGUGCAUUGGCAGGAGUUCAGGACCAGCUCAUUGAAAAGAGGGAGCCAGGAAGUGGGACGGAAAGUGACACUUCUCCAGACUUCCACAAUCAGGAAAAUGAGCCCAGCCAGGAGGACCCUGAGGAUCUGGAUGGAUCUGUGCAGGGAGUGAAACCUCAGAAGGCUGCUUCUUCUACUUCCUCAGGGAGUCACCACAGCAGCCAUAAAAAGCGAAAGAAUAAAAACCGGCACAGGUAUGUAUAUUAGGUUAGGCUGGGAAGUUUUUUUUAAAAACAGAAAAACGUGAUGGAGGAUUGAUCUGAAGUUAAACAAAAAACCACGAGCUGACUAUUAGAAGACACAUUAGUGCAGAAGCUUCCAGGCUGUAGAGCCCUGCUUCCCUUCUCUGACCUCGCAAAGAUAAACAUCCUUCACCUGAGUUCGUGGCCAUCCACCUCUGCUCUCCCAGACCCAGUGCCUGUGACUUUGAGUAGUUUGUUCUAAAUGUGGUGACAAACAAGUCAUUUCUGUAAGACAUUGGGUCUUACUUUAUGUCAUUUUUAGUAACAGAACUGCAGGAAGAUCAAGACAAUGUUGUAAUCCCGGCAAGUUGCUAACUGUGCGUUUCUCCCUUCUUAGAAUGAAUGUCUCCCCCAAAACUGGCUGGCACCAGCUUCAUCUGUGAUACCCAUCAAGAAAUGUUCUCUGGUUUUGUUUUAUGCUGAAAGUAGAACACAAGUCACAUUUCAGAUGGAGGCUGUAAAUAUCUGGCAUUUUCUUAUAUUGUUUUAUGUUUUCUUGUUUUUCUCUUGUUGUUUUUAUCUUAUUUUCUUUGGGGUUUUUUUGUAAUGCCUUUGUACAGCUCAUACUUUCCUGCUGACAUAUCUGAUCAUUUCUUUCAUGCAGUUGCCAUAUUCAUAACUGAAAAUAAUCUGGUUUAUCAUAAGUAAAAUGGGAAACUUGCCUCUGUUUUUUGCAAGGGGAGGUAAAGAGUGUUUAGUAAUUACCUAUCUUAAAUCUUUCUGAGUUGGUAGUAGAUUCAUGUUCAAGGAACAGGAAAAAUGGAAAAACAUAAGUUUAAAUCAGUUAUUUUUAAAUAACUAUUUUUAUUCUUUUGUAU
RNAcentral lists this small RNA (1409 nucleotides) under Pan troglodytes (chimpanzee). Its description in RNAcentral is "processed transcript". Lineage: Eukaryota; Metazoa; Chordata; Mammalia; Primates; Hominidae. The record is from RNAcentral.